GUUGUACGUGAACUGACAGGUGCUCUCCAGCUGGCUUCAACAGGAAAUUGAAAGUCGAUGCUAAGCUAGAGCUAGUAGGUGAAGAACAGCGUUUUCUAUGCUGCGCCUGCUCUGAUUGGAUUAUUUUUCAAAACGGAAACAUUUCUUAAAACUGGACUUCCGGUUCACACAGAAGAUGAUUAGUGAUGGAAGACCAACGCCGGAGCUAAGACGUUAGCUUUAAACUACGGGGCAGAAGAGUCUUUUUUUAUCAAAUGGAGUGGUACAAACGAAAAGACUGGCUGUGUGUCUGUCCUGUUAGAAACCGCCAUUACUGGUUUCCUUAUCUUUUACUCUUAUCGUGUGAUAACGUCCGGACUAACUCGGCAUUGGAUGAACAACGGACACUAAACAUUAGCAUCACAAUGCUAAGGUGAAGGAAAACCGAGAGAUACAACCAUGGACUUCAUCUAUAAGUAAAGUUAAGACUGUUCUGACCCAGGGAUGGAGCACAAAGAAAGAAACCCUAGGCUUCCAAUAUGGGCAGCAUCCAAUAUCCAAAUAUGGCUGGAGCUGGACAGUGACUAACGACACUCCCAGUCAGUCAAACACUUAUCACCACACAGGUAACACACAGGCCUGGAAAUGACUGACAUGAAAUGGAAACGUCUCUCAUUCUGUGGGCCCAGGAGCUGAAGUGAAAUAUUAGCUGUGGGGGAGAGAUGGCGGACGAUAAGGAGCUCCCCGUUUGGGCUGGAAUUGUGGAGGUCCGAGUUCCAUUACAUUUCUUUUAUCCGACGCUGCAGUGGUACGAAGACGCCGUCUAAUCCAGAAGAAAGCUCCAACUCGUCACCUCGUGUAUUUGGAGAUUGCAGAUUUAAAACCAACCUUUGUCCAAUAAUGUACGUUUACAUGUUUAGACCUAAAAACAAAGUAAUACUAUAUAAAUUCAUGGUCUAGGAAAGAUAACUGCACAAUUCUCAAGUUGCAGUAUCAGUAAAAGUAAAAUAUCAGUGGGUAGGAGGUGAUUCCAGGAGUCACAAAGGGAAACGCUUCGUCGCUCAGUUACUGGGGACAGUUAAGCAACAGCUGAACUAAAAGUAUAGAUUUAAUAGAUUUUUUAUUUACCUUCGUAAAACAGAACUAUAAAGGGAAGAAAUAUGGGGCCUAGAAUUGAACCCUGUGGAACUCCACAAAACAGGCUGCAGAUCUAUAACUGUCUCUGAAGGUUAAUGGAAACUACUGGUAGUCACGUUAGACUGGGUGACGGGGGCUUUAAGGUCAAUUUUUUUUUCUGACUGUAUAUACUGAUUUAUAGCUACUCGUUUUUUGACGAUGUCGUCUCUUUCCGGACUAUGAGCUGCAAACAACACUUGACCAAUGUGGUAAAACGUCCUCUGUAGCCACCAACGCUAACAACAUCAAUUGUGAAACUGCCAAGUCAUAAGAAAAGUCAGACGGCGACUAACUUCGCAGUCUGUCAGCACGGCGGUGGCACAGACAGUUGGCAGAAGGAUAUGGAGUCAAACCGAGAAAGUCUGUGGACCAGACGAGACGGGUUCACGGGUCUGUUUGUAACCGCAGGACGUGUGCGUUACACCAGUGAAAGCGCACUCUCAACACUUUCCCACAUUGGGGACACUACACUUGUUGAUCUCUUUAUGGAUUGCUGCAUCAUUGUUUUAAAUCUACAACUGAAACUGCUGAGUCAUUUCUCUGCAGCAAACG
Long non-coding RNA from Cynoglossus semilaevis (tongue sole), 1707 nucleotides. RefSeq lists it as uncharacterized. The record is from RefSeq and is a predicted model, not a curated record. NCBI's taxonomy places the organism in Eukaryota, Metazoa, Chordata, Actinopteri, Pleuronectiformes, Cynoglossidae. The transcript has 4 exons.